This is a long non-coding RNA of Felis catus (domestic cat), 362 nucleotides long. RefSeq lists it as uncharacterized. The record is from RefSeq and is a predicted model, not a curated record. The transcript is spliced from 2 exons. Lineage: Eukaryota; Metazoa; Chordata; Mammalia; Carnivora; Felidae.
GGCUUCCCCAGGUUGAGGUUCGGCUAAGGCCUUCGGUCAAGGCCGCGGCCGGCUCAGCGGCGGCUGGCUCAGCGGCUCCCGGCAGCCAACAGUUGGCCCGCAAAGUGAGGCCGCACCGCGAUGGGUGAGGUCCGGUCCCGGCUGCCCUGGCCCGAGGGGCGACCUGCGGGGACCCAGGGACACGACAGGGGAGACCGAGGGGCCGGGAGAGCGGCUGGACGAUAAAGAUGUUGUUACACUGUGGCUUGGCUUAUGAAUAUGGAGGAUGACUAGAGGAGGAAUGGAGACAGCAGCAAUGUGCUACAUAGGUAGGUAAAACUGAAAACCCGAAGCCUCGAGCUGAAGUAAACAAAAAGUAAAAG